This 314-nucleotide long non-coding RNA is filed under the name Physcomitrium patens. Its description in RNAcentral is "long non-coding RNA (PPAT_LNC008049)". The record is from RNAcentral. Lineage: Eukaryota; Viridiplantae; Streptophyta; Bryopsida; Funariales; Funariaceae.
ACUGCUGGAAUAUAAACGACUGCAACAAUGUACCGUAAAUCUAUACGGGUGCUCUUCGACUGCUUGUCGAAGUCCUUUUUGUCCCAGCCGAUAGGUCUCUAGACGUUACAGAGAACCCCGUACAACCCAAACUGUUAACCUUCAAUACUGCUUUGUACUUACGAUCUUGUAUCCACUGACUGUCUUGUUAGAUUAACCCAAUAAAUUUCAUUCACUCUGCAUACUCAAUCCUAUAGACACCCUUUUAAUCCUUCAAUCACAGACGUAACUCGAUUUCACAAAACAGUCAAGAGUAUUCAAACCCACUUCAUUUA